RNAcentral lists this ribosomal RNA (447 nucleotides) under uncultured bacterium. Its description in RNAcentral is "bacterial SSU rRNA". It matches the Rfam family "Bacterial small subunit ribosomal RNA", at positions 330 to 793 of the family's 1533-position model. The record is from RNAcentral.
GCCAGACUCCUACGGGAGGCAGCAGUGGGGAAUAUUGCACAAUGGGGGAAACCCUGAUGCAGCAACGCCGCGUGAGUGAAGAAGUAUUUCGGUAUGUAAAGCUCUAUCAGCAGGGAAGAAGAUGACGGUACCUGAGUAAGAAGCCCCGGCUAACUACGUGCCAGCAGCCGCGGUAAUACGUAGGGGGCAAGCGUUAUCCGGAUUUACUGGGUGUAAAGGGAGCGUAGACGGCCAGACAAGUCUGAAGUGAAAAUCCAGCGCUUAACGUUGGAAGUGCUUUGGAAACUGCCGGGCUGGAGUGCAGGAGGGGCAGGCGGAAUUCCUAGUGUAGCGGUGAAAUGCGUAGAUAUUAGGAGGAACACCAGUGGCGAAGGCGGCCUGCUGGACUGCAACUGACGUUGAGGCUCGAAGGCGUGGGGAGCAAACAGGAUUAGAUACCCUGGUAUG